Molecule: ribosomal RNA, 253 nt
Filed under: uncultured bacterium
Lineage: Bacteria
Description: partial 16S ribosomal RNA
Rfam family: Bacterial small subunit ribosomal RNA
Source: RNAcentral
UACGUAGGGGGCAAGCGUUGUCCGGAAUCAUUGGGCGUAAAGCGCGUGUAGGCGGCCAGAAAAGUCCGCUGUGAAAACUCGAGGCUCAACUUCGAGCUGUCGGUGGAAACUUUCUGGCUAGAGUCCGGAAGAGGAGAAUGGAAUUCCUGGUGUAGCGGUGAAAUGCGCAGAUAUCAGGAAGAACACCCGUGGCGAAGGCGAGUCUCUGGACGACACCUGACACUGAGGCACGAAAGCCAGGGGAGCAAACAGG